CGUAGGGCUAGCGUUAUCCGGAUUUACUGGGCGUAAAGGUGCGUAGGUGGUUCUUAAGUCAGGAGUGAAAGGCUACGGCUCAACCGUAGUAAGCUCUUGAAACUGGGAAACUUGAGUGCAGGAGAGGAAGUGGAAUUCCUAGUGUAGCGGUGAAAUGCGUAGAUAUUAGGAGGAACACCAGUAGCGAAAGGCGGCUUUCUGGACUGUAACUGACACUGAGGCACGAAAGCGUGGGGAGCAAACAGGAUU
RNAcentral lists this ribosomal RNA (249 nucleotides) under uncultured bacterium. Its description in RNAcentral is "partial 16S ribosomal RNA". It matches the Rfam family "Bacterial small subunit ribosomal RNA", at positions 528 to 779 of the family's 1533-position model. The record is from RNAcentral.